RNAcentral lists this ribosomal RNA (433 nucleotides) under uncultured bacterium. RNAcentral describes it as "partial 16S ribosomal RNA". It matches the Rfam family "Bacterial small subunit ribosomal RNA", at positions 28 to 507 of the family's 1533-position model. The record is from RNAcentral.
GACGAACGCUGGCGGCAUGCCUAACACAUGCAAGUCGAACGGAACCUUCGGGUCUAUUUGCGCUCGUCUGCGUGCCGCGUGGGAACCUACCCUUGGGUUCGGAAUACCUCCCCGAAGGGGGUCCUCAUACCGGAUAAUGUCUUCGGACCAAAGAUGUAUCGCCUUUGGGUGGGCGCGCGUUGGAUUAGCUGGUUGGUAGGGUAAAAGCAUACCAAGGCGACGAUCCAUGGCUGGUCGGUGAGGAUGAUCAGCUAGGCUGGGACUGAGGCACGGCCCAGACGGGGAGGGGAGGGAGCAGUAGGGAAUAUAGGAGGAGGGGCGAUAGUGUGAUCCAGCCAUGUGGCGUGAGUGAGGAAGGGGGUAGGGUUGCAAAGUUCUCUGACCCGGGAUGAGAAUGACAGUACCGGGAGAAGAAGCUCCGGCUAACUCCGUG